CCAAUAGCGUAUAUUAAAGUUGUUGCAGUUAAAAAGCUCGUAGUUGAAUUUCGGGAUCGAAUUGUUGGUCGUGCUUCGGUACGCACUGGCGUUAUUGGUUCCUCCCUUCUGAAGAACCACGAUGUCAUUAAUUUGGUGUCGCGGGGAAUCAGGACUGUUACUUUGAAAAAAUUAGAGUGUUUAAAGCAGGCUCGCGCUUGAAUACAUUAGCAUGGAAUAAUGAAAUAGGACGUUUGAUUCUAUUUUGUUGGUUUCUAGGAUCGACGUAAUGAUUAAUAGGGAUAGUUGGGGGCAUUAGUAUUCAAUUGUCAGAGGUGAAAUUCUUGGAUUUAUUGAAGACUAACUACUGCGAAAGCAUUUGCCAAGGAUGUUUUCAUUAAUCAAGAACGAAAGUUAGGGGAUCGAAGACGAUCAGAUACCGUCGUAGUCUUAACCAUAAACUAUGCCGACUAGGGAUCGGAUGAUGUUAAUUUUUUAAUGACUCAUUCGGCGCCUUACG
Molecule: ribosomal RNA, 499 nt
Filed under: uncultured Glomeromycotina
Lineage: Eukaryota; Fungi; Glomeromycota
Description: partial small subunit ribosomal RNA
Rfam family: Eukaryotic small subunit ribosomal RNA
Source: RNAcentral